Molecule: long non-coding RNA, 579 nt
Filed under: Sorghum bicolor (sorghum)
Lineage: Eukaryota; Viridiplantae; Streptophyta; Magnoliopsida; Poales; Poaceae
Description: long non-coding RNA (SBIC_LNC014810)
Source: RNAcentral
GGAAACAACCGACAAAUUCAUGAAGCCAGAAUAUCAGGCUGAGUUCCGAAGCUUUAGAAAAGAUGAGAUGUCACUAAAUCCUGCACCCACAGUAUUUUAGAGGGUCAUGACAGAAAUAAAAUCUUUUUACAUGCGAUGAAUAUGCACAAAUUGCUGACACUUUCUUUUUCAUGCACUCAUCUUGAUAUCAGUAGCUUAUGUUCCUCAAUCAAGAAGAGCAAAGGAGUGGAAUAUGUUAGCUCUAUACAUAUAAAAUUCAUGGAUUUUAUAUAAUUCAUGGAAUAUGAGUAAAAAGUUAAGCCAUGCUUAGUUAAUUGAAAUUCAUGGAUUUUGUUUGUUUCUUUUUUUUUUAGGAAACAGGAGAAGCCCAGAGACCUCUACCAUUUGUUUGUUUCUUUGCGCAUGAAUUUUUAAGUAACUACGAAAAACAGAUACUGCCUGCACAACUGAUCAUCAAAGAAUCUCUAUUCCUUAUUUUUCUCCUAGUACUUUGGUGAGAAGCAACCCCUCUUGAAUGACAGAAAAAGAGCAAAAAAGAAAUACCAGUUUUGGGUUUCACUGCACUAGAAGCAACCAGGC